AAGAUAUUAGUAAAAUGUAUUACACUGCUUUGUCAGGGCAGAAUUGUGAGUUAAACCCUCACGUGUCUUA
This 70-nucleotide transfer RNA is filed under the name Sphyrna tiburo (bonnethead). Its description in RNAcentral is "tRNA-Asp". It matches the Rfam family "tRNA". Rfam says of the family: Transfer RNA (tRNA) molecules are approximately 80 nucleotides in length. The record is from RNAcentral. Lineage: Eukaryota; Metazoa; Chordata; Chondrichthyes; Carcharhiniformes; Carcharhinidae.